ACCGCAGUCAUUGUGGCCGGCCAUGGCUAUAUUUAGUACAAAGAAGAAUUUCACGAUAGCGUGUUAGAUGUCUGUGUGUCGAACAGGUGGACUUAAAUCACGUUCACAGGUACACCCUGACGGCGUCUCCAUCUGCUCUGAGAAGCAGGUAAAGUACCCGCUAGAGAGCUCUCAGUGAUGUGGCUGCAAACAGCUCUACUAUUGCUUGCAUCACAAGCUCAUGGCGUUGAGGACUGCGACUAUGGAGUAUAUGGCGAGAACUGCGACAGGCCCUGCCCCUCCAACUGUGCAACUGCCCAACAGAAAAACCUCACACACUGCAAUAAGUACACUGGGGAAUGUUCUGAGGGAUGUGUUCGUGGUUACCAUGGCGACCAGUGUAAUAUAUCCUGCAGCAGAGGCUGUUUAAACGAAACCUGCAAUAUUGGAGAUGGACA
This is a long non-coding RNA of Haliotis rubra (blacklip abalone), 437 nucleotides long. RefSeq lists it as uncharacterized. Lineage: Eukaryota; Metazoa; Mollusca; Gastropoda; Lepetellida; Haliotidae. The record is from RefSeq and is a predicted model, not a curated record. The transcript is spliced from 3 exons.